UCCCUGUCGAGCUCAAUCAGGCUUUCGCAAGCUAUAGUCAAGUACACUGGAUCCAACUGGUCUAACAACCAACGAAUCACGUGCCCUCGGCACAAUCUGAUGCCAAAACGGCAAUCUGAGUCCACCGUCAAUCCCGACGGCCCCCAACAGUCCGGAACAGUCUGAACACUACUGUAAAAUAGGCUCGGGAUCCCAGCACGAGCGUAACAGCAAUCUACAUUACCUGGGAUAUCCACCACGUUGAUACUGCGGCGAUACAAAAUAACAACGGCUCCUAGAGCUAAAUCUGGUAGUGUAA
Molecule: long non-coding RNA, 298 nt
Filed under: Ananas comosus (pineapple)
Lineage: Eukaryota; Viridiplantae; Streptophyta; Magnoliopsida; Poales; Bromeliaceae
Description: long non-coding RNA (ACOM_LNC028373)
Source: RNAcentral